UACGUAGGGUGCGAGCGUUAAUCGGAAUUACUGGGCGUAAAGCGUGCGCAAGCGGCUUUGCAAGACAGAUGUGAAAUCCCCGGGCUUAACCUGGGAACUGCAUUUGUGACUGCAAGGCUAGAGUACGGCAGAGGGGGAUGGAAUUCCGCGUGUAGCAGUGAGAUGCGUAGAUAUGCGGAGGAACACCGAUGGCGAAGGCAAUCCCCUGGGCCUGUACUGACGCUCAUGCACGAAAGCGUGGGGAGCAAACAGG
Molecule: ribosomal RNA, 253 nt
Filed under: uncultured bacterium
Lineage: Bacteria
Description: partial 16S ribosomal RNA
Rfam family: Bacterial small subunit ribosomal RNA
Source: RNAcentral